ACAAUGGAGAGUUUGAUCCUGGCUCAGGACGAACGCUGGCGGCGUGCUUAACACAUGCAAGUCAAGGAGAACCUCCGCUUCGGCGGAGUAGUAAACUGGCGAACGGGUGAGUAACACGUGGGUAACCUGCCCUGGAGACUGGGAUAACCCCGAGAAAUCGGAGCUAAUACC
This 171-nucleotide ribosomal RNA is filed under the name Fidelibacterota bacterium. RNAcentral's name for it is "partial 16S ribosomal RNA". It matches the Rfam family "Bacterial small subunit ribosomal RNA", at positions 1 to 170 of the family's 1533-position model. Lineage: Bacteria; Pseudomonadati; Fidelibacterota. The record is from RNAcentral.